RNAcentral lists this ribosomal RNA (219 nucleotides) under uncultured eukaryote. Its description in RNAcentral is "partial large subunit ribosomal RNA". It matches the Rfam family "Eukaryotic large subunit ribosomal RNA", at positions 40 to 254 of the family's 3401-position model. The record is from RNAcentral.
AUAUCAGUAAGCAGAGGAAAAGAAACUAACCAGGAUUCCCUCAGUAACGGCGAGUGAAGCGGGAAGAGCUCAACUUUAAAAUCCGGGCGCAAGCUCCGAAUUGUAGUUUAGAGAAGCGUUUUCGGUGACGAUAUUGGCCCAAGUCCCUUGGAACAGGGUAUCAUAGAGGGUGAGAAUCCCGUCUUUGGCUAAUUUUUUGCCGUCGCUAUGUAGGCGAGC